CGUGUAGGCGGUUAGGUAGGUCCGUUGUGAAAACUCGAGGCUCAACCUCGAGACGCCGAUGGAAACCAUCUAACUAGAGUCCGGAAGAGGAGAGUGGAAUUCCUGGUGUAGCGGUGAAAUGCGCAGAUAUCAGGAAGAACACCCGUGGCUAAGGCGGCUCUCUAGUACGGUACUGACGCUGAGACGCGAAAGCGUGGGGAGCGAAC
Molecule: ribosomal RNA, 206 nt
Filed under: uncultured bacterium
Lineage: Bacteria
Description: partial 16S ribosomal RNA
Rfam family: Bacterial small subunit ribosomal RNA
Source: RNAcentral